AAGAAACUAACAAGGAUUCCCGUAGUAACGGCGAGUGAACUGGGAUCAGUCCAGCGCUGAAUCGCUGUGUCUUUGGCACAGCGAAAUGUAGCGUAUAUACGGUGCGCGUGGCUUUGGCCAUCGGUUUAACUUUCCCUUGACUGGGGCUCCAAAGAAGGUGAAAGACCUGUACAACCGGUGGACUUUGUCAUCUGCUCUGUCUUGGAGUCGGGUUGUUUGGGAUCGCAGCCCAAAGAAGGUGGUAAACUUCAUCUAAGACUAAAUAUGACUACGAGACCGAUAGCAAACAAGUACCGUGAGGGAAAGUUGCAAAGCACUUUGAAGAGAGAGUUAAAGAGGACGUGAAACCGGUAAGAUGGAAACGGAUAGAGCUAGCGUAUCUAGCUUGUAUUCAGCCGCCCUGGUUUGGGAGCCCUGUCUGCUGGUCCGGAAUCGGCCAGUUGGCGGGUGUCUCUCGGGUCUUGGUGGUGCAAUUGCAAGUGGAGUGCGCUGAGGCCUGUGGGUCAGCGGUUGGAAGUGCGCUUUGAGGAUACCCUUCGGGGUAAAACCCGGGCGUGCCUAAGACUGUUUGGCCUGCUUGUACAAUGAGCGAGGCCAACGGGUUUGGCUGGGGCUGAGCUGGUCGCCGGUUACGGUCGCAUGCGACACGUGCUGGUGACUGGUUUGGUCUGGGUCUUGCUCCCUCGCUCGCCCUCGGUGUAAAAGCUAGUCAUCUAUCCGACCCGUCUUGAAACACGGACCAAGGAGUUUAGCGUAUACGCGAGUCAUUGAGUGAAAAACUCAAAGGCGCAAUGAAAGUAAAGGCAUCCCUUGUGGAGCUGAUAUGCGACCUCGGGUGCUUCGGUGCCCGGGAGCAGCAUAGCCCCGUCCCGAUCGCUUGCGAUGGGGCGGAGGUAGAGCGUGUUCGCUGAGACCCGAAAGAUGGUGAACUAUUCCUGAGCAGGAUGAAGCCAGUGGAAACACUGGUGGAAGUCCGAAGCGAUUCUGACGUGCAAAUCGAUCGCCUGACUUGGGUAUAGGGGCGAAAGACUAAUCGAACCAUCUAGUAGCUGGUUCCCUCUGAAGUUUCCCCCAGGAUAGCUGGAGCCUGGUGAUGUAGUUAUACUCGGUAAAGCGAACGAUUAGAGGACUUGGGGUCGAAAUGAUCUUAACCUAUUCUCAAACUCUAAAUGGGUAUGAAGCCGGAGUUUCUUGAUUGAACUCUAGCGUUGAAUACAGGCUCCAAGUGGGCCAUUUUUGGUAAGCAGAACUGG
This 1253-nucleotide ribosomal RNA is filed under the name Pratylenchoides ritteri. Its description in RNAcentral is "eukaryotic LSU rRNA". It matches the Rfam family "Eukaryotic large subunit ribosomal RNA", at positions 59 to 1153 of the family's 3401-position model. The record is from RNAcentral. Lineage: Eukaryota; Metazoa; Nematoda; Chromadorea; Rhabditida; Merliniidae.